RNAcentral lists this long non-coding RNA (4578 nucleotides) under Homo sapiens (human). RNAcentral's name for it is "non-protein coding LINC00944:29". Lineage: Eukaryota; Metazoa; Chordata; Mammalia; Primates; Hominidae. The record is from RNAcentral.
AACCAACUAGGCCCGCCAACCCACAAGCAGAUAGAAAAUAAGCUGAUUCUAUAGGACAGAAAAAGGAAGAGGGCAGGGGUCAUAAGGGGAUGUAAGCAUAAGAUACCCAAGCCAGAAACAGCAACCCUUCCAGGUCCCCUUCCCCCACGUGGAAGCUUUCCUUUCACUUUCGCUUUAAUAAAUCUUGCCGCAGCACACUCUCUAAUCGAGCUGUAACACUCGCCACUGCCGUCCACGGCUUCAUUCCUUGAAGCCGUGAGACCACGAACCCUUCGAUUGAGAAGAACCUUCGGUCGGAAGAAGACUUCUCGUCUCAGUAACAAUAACAAGAAAAACAGCCUAGACUAGACGCACAUCAGGAAGACAGACGUGACUUGCUCCUCCUUGCCUUCUGCCAUGAUUGUGAGGCUUCCCCAGCCAUGUGGAAAUGUACCCAGCAUAACCCCAUUGAAGAGCUGUUCCCUGGGACCUGGAGAGGAACACAGCAGGCUGCCAUGCCCACUGCACCUGCAGGUGAGGCAAGGCAGUAAAACAGAGAGGCUGUGACUAUCCAGGCAAACAGUUGAGAGUUUGAAUUUCUGCUCUGCUGCUCAUGGGCUGUGUAACCCUAAGACAAUUAUUUGACCUCUCUGAGCCUCAAUUUUCUCACCAGUAAAUUGAGAAAAAUAGUACCGUCUGGUAAACUCUCAAGGAAUGUUGGAUGAAAGAACAAAAACAUGAGUGAAUGAACAAAUAAUGGAAUACAUGUUAAAGGACCAACAGAUGUGUAUACCUGCUGCAUAGUAACUUAUCAAUACACUGAGACAGCAGGGUUUGCAGCAGAGAAAGAGUUUAAUAAUUGCAGGGCACCAAGUGAGGAGAUGGAAGGAGACUGUUUUUUCCAUCUCUGCAAGGGUUUCUGGGCUGGAGCUGUUCAUGGAGGUUGAGGGGCUGGAAGAUUGGGGUCAUUGAUUGGUUAGGAUAGGAGGGAUAAACCAUCAGGACAUGGAAACUGCAUUCUUUGGUAAGACAGUUUCUUGCAGGGUCCUUCAGACCAGCUGAGUUAGUAGUUUCACUGGUAUACCAGAUUGAAAGGGUAUCUGAUAUGAUUUGGCUGUGUCCUCACCCAUAUCUUAUCUUGAAUUCCCAUGUAUUUUGGAAGGGACCUGGUAGGAGGUCAUUGAAUAAUGGGGGCAGGACUUUUCCAUACUCUUCUCAUGAUAGCAAAUAAGUCUCAUGAGAUCUGACAGUUUUAAAAAGGGGAGUUUUCCUGCACAAGCUCUCUCUUUGCCUGCUGCCAUCCAUGGAAGAUAUGACUUGCUCCUCCUUGCCUUCUGCCAUGAUUGUGAGGCCUCCCCAGCCACAUUGAAAUGUAAGUCCAUUAAACCCUUUUUCCUGUAUAAAUUACUCAGUCUCGGGUAUGUCUUUAUCAGCAGCAUGAAAAUGGACUAGCACAGUAUCCCAAGUGGACAAUAUUUUCCAAUGUUCAAGUUGUUAAUUACAGAGCAGUUACAUGGAACUCUAAUCUUGGAACAGGUUCUAUGUGAUUAUGAGGCAAUCAGCACCAAACAGCUAUGAGGAAGCAGUUCAGAGAGCAGGAAGCAGUUCAGAGAGCAGGCUUCCCUCAUGGUGAAUGCUAAGCGUGCUGCAAGCUGGGUUCAGUUCCUUUUCCCCAGCUUCCUUCUUCCCUGGUUCAUUUUCUAAAGUUUACAGGGACAGUUUCACAGGUGAACGGUCAGCAUUCAAAUUCCCGCUUUGCUACUUAUAGACUGUGUGACCCUGGGGCAAUCAUUUAAUCCUUUUGAGCCUCAAUGUUCUCACCAGUAAGAUCAAGAAAAAGUAGUAACUAUCUGGUAAACUCUCAAAGAAGAUUGGAUAAAAGAAUGGCAAUAUGAAUGAAAAAAUAAAUGAAACAAUAAAUGUUGUAUUCUGGCUUGUUCCUGAUAUAGAAAAUAAGAAAUAAAAUUAAGAGAUUAAGUAACUUAGACACUAAGUAUUAAUUAGGUUAAUUGACAGCAAUAAUGCAUGGGGCUCAGAAGCAGCUACUUAGGAGGUGAAGAUUUUGUUUAGAAAUCCAGCUCCACCUUUUAUUGAUUUGGUGACCUUGAGAGAGUUACUUUAACUCCCUAAUGAUCAGUUUCCAAAUCUAACAUAUGGGGAAAUUUUAAAUGGUUAAAGUAGAACUUAAAGUUUCCAGAUUCAGUACUUUGGGGAUAAAUUAUGUAGAAAAUUGAACAAAUGAGCUGGACAGAUGUGGCCACUGUGUGUUCUCUUCUAUCACUUUCUGUUUUACUUAUAUAUGUCUCAUUGUCUACUCAGAAAGUGAGUCACUGGUACCAUAUCCCUAUCAUGUAUAUCUCAGGGGUUUAGUGAAGAACCAAAUAUUCAGUGCUAUAACGAUUCUGACAUUUCUAUAUACAAGUAACAGAAAUUGCUAAAAUAAUGGCUCACACAGUCAAGGCACCUACGUAUCUCCUAGUGGAGAAAACUGUGAGUAGGUGAUUCUAGAUUGAUGCAUUGGUUUAGCAAUGAAACCAAAAACAGGGGCCCUUUGUACAAUCCAUGUCUGCCAUCCUCCAAUGUUGAUUUUUCAUUCUCCUGCUUAGCAAAUCAUGUUCACAAGAUGGCUGCACAGCUUUCGCCAUCACAGCCUUUUCAUGGCAGAAAGAAGAGGGAAGGUUCCUAUCAUAUUUUUCCUUUUGUUAAGGAGGCAAGAGUUUUCCCAGAAAUCUCAAAUGACUGUCUAAGACCUCAUCGGCCAGCACUGGGUCACAUGGCCACCUCUUGUUAGAAGGAAGUUUGGUAAAGUGAGUGCCUGGCUUUGCAGGUAUUUUAGUGGGAGGGGACAAAGGAGAAGGUGGUGAAAAUGGCUGUUGUGUUAAUUGAAACAGUGUCGGCCACAGCCGCAGAAUAAACAUGUGGAGAAGGUCAUUGAUCACCUUGACUGAAGCACUGCAGACAAGAUAAAGACAGCCUGAUGCAGAGGAAGAUUGAGGACUAAGGGGCUUCAUCCACAGGUGAGCUCACAUCUGAAAGCCGUGCUUACAUGAAUGUGAAAAUAUCUCAUCCAUGGAGUUGCCCACCUCUUGCAUUUAAGAAUCAAACUUCACCCUUUCUGUCUCCAAAGCUUCAUGUUUAUAUGGUAAAAAGAAAAAAAAAUCAGUGUAACUCAGAUGCCUCCCAAGUUUCAUCCCACUCUUCUCCAAAGAUAGUGUUCUUCCUUGAGUAGUCUUCUCUUUUGUCUACUGUGCAACAAGAUGUAUAACCAUCACCUUCCCCACCAGAUAACAUGCUAGGAUGCUUUCUGUUAGGAUAUGAAGAAGAGUGAUACUGACAUGCUAGUGAUAAUACUCUUGGAGCUGGGAAACUUGCAGAGUAACCAGGCGUCUACUGACCCACCACAUUUUUACCUUAUGACCAAAGACAAGGCCCUGUCAUAAUAGACUGUCAUCAUAGGAGGUAGCAUGCAUCCAUUCAUCCAACAGAUAUUUACACAGUGGGUCCUAAGUGCAGAUAUUGAAAUGAUCAGGGUUAUAAGACACUAACAAUGCCAACGGAGUGGGUUGAUAUAGAAAUUUAUUCUAAGUGCUUUAUGUGCCUUUUCUUCUUGUUCUGAAUGAAAAACAUGUGAGGUAUUUUCUGUUAUGACGUCACUGUAGAAGUAAAGAAACGGAAGCUAAAUGGCUGAGUAACACAGCUGUCAAUAGUUAAUAGUUAGUAAGGGGCAGAGCUGGAAUUUUCACCCAGCCUCCAGAACCCCAUGACUUUAGCCACUAUAUGUACUGCCUGUAUGGAGAGAAACAAACAACGGUGUAACUGUGCUAUUGCUGCAACAAUGCUGGGUAACAGACAACCCUAGUCUCAAGUAUAGGUCUGUUCCAGGUGUUUCUUCAUUUUUCAUGCAAGCAGUUACUGGGUACAGCAUGUUCUUUACAUGGAGAAUGGCAACAGCAUAAGAGGAACAGACAGAAGCUUUUCAGUAACCCUUAAGAAUUUUUCUUGCAAUCAGUCACUUCUGCUCACAUUUCAUUGACCAAAAUACAAGGCCCAGCCAAGCUUCCGUGGGAGGAAUUGCAAACUCACUUCACACAGGGUAUAGAUUCUAAUGUAGAGAAGAAUAAAAAUUUAGGAGCAAUAAUCCCAUCUACCUGUGGCCCAAGGUGUUCUGAAAAGAUGGCUAUUUUUGUGGCUUUGGGAUAUGUUCUUUGGGCCAGGAGGAAGAAGGAAGGAGUUAAUCAAUGAAAGAAUUAAUCUGGAGAAGUAUGGGAAAGGCCUCAUGCUAUGUCUAGGGGUUGGGUUUUAUGCUAUCAGCCCUGGAAAAGUACUUAUGAAGCCUUCCUGAACAGCUUCCUUAAAGAGAAUGUUUGUUUGUUUGUUUUGUUUUGUGUUGUUUUGUUUUGCUGUGCUCUGGAAAGCCAAAUCUUGAGCCAUGAUCAUCCCAGCCCGGCUAAGCAUUCCAGGAAACACGGCUGAUUGUCCAUCCCUAUAAUCAUUUAGUGGAAAUAUAUUUCUAAGGAUGUUAGAAUGGUAUUUUAAAGAGCAUCAUUCACUUGAAUUCAAAAUCUUUCUAGAUCUCUAGAAUUCAAGUAAUUUUUCUUG